AUUUAUUUAGUAUAAAUAGUACUUUUGACUUCCAAUCAAAAAGUCUAAAAUAUUUAGAAUAAAUA
This 65-nucleotide transfer RNA is filed under the name Tropidomantis tenera. Its description in RNAcentral is "tRNA-Gly". The record is from RNAcentral. Lineage: Eukaryota; Metazoa; Arthropoda; Insecta; Mantodea; Nanomantidae.